GGACGGCCACGUGGCCGGACACGGGGAGAGGGAGCAGGGACGGGCGAGGCCCGUCUUCCCGUCACCCGGAGGCCAUUAUGUGUUCAGAAACACGUGUUCCGACUCAGACAGGCUUCAAGGCUGCCACAGAGGGCAGUGUGCCCUGGGCCAGCGGCCCACACCGCAGCAGCCGGACACCGCGCCCGAGCAGAGCAGGCAAAAUGUGUUCUCGCUCUGUGACUCCAGCGCUCUGUGCUCAGACUUCACUGCACAGGAGCAGGGGGUGCGCCAUGGAUAGGCAGCGGUCAGCGCCAAUGUCCUGGGGCCAGUGAGUCGAGUCAGCAUGUACACACACACACCAGGGAGCCGGGCUCCUCACAGCAGGGCUCCGCCAGACAGUGCCACAGGGCACGAGAAGCGCAGAAAAAGAGAAGGAAAAUAAGCGGGUGAAAGACUGUGCUCAGUGCAGGUCAGAACACGGGGAAUGCUGUGCAGGAAGCAGCCAUGAAGUCUCGGCCUCAACUCCUGCCAGGCUACUCCGCCAUUCCAGAAGCACAGAAGCAAAAGAAGCCAGGCCUGCACCACACCCUCCUCACUCGGGCUGGCCGGGCCUGGGCCUUGGAGUCCCCUAGUCUUCCACACCGCACCCGGGGAGGCUGGGUGGCUCCCACGGGCAGGCGGCCUGGAUACGCGGUGACCCUGAGCAUGAGCAGCUCAGACGCCUCGGCCGGACAGGGAGCAUUCCCGGUGACCAAGCAGCAGCAUCGGAGACGUCAUGCGGAACUCGCUUCCCCUGCGGCUGUAAUGCGCGUGCCAUCGUUCUGGCUCUGUGGCCCCCCUGACCAGAGACACCCCGCGGACGGCCACCUGCCACAGCCCUGA
RNAcentral lists this long non-coding RNA (861 nucleotides) under Chinchilla lanigera (long-tailed chinchilla). Its description in RNAcentral is "lncRNA (ENSCLAG00000024694.1)". The record is from RNAcentral. Lineage: Eukaryota; Metazoa; Chordata; Mammalia; Rodentia; Chinchillidae.